Molecule: small nucleolar RNA, 84 nt
Filed under: Oryza rufipogon (brownbeard rice)
Lineage: Eukaryota; Viridiplantae; Streptophyta; Magnoliopsida; Poales; Poaceae
Description: Small nucleolar RNA Z168/Z174
Rfam family: Small nucleolar RNA Z168/Z174
About the family: This family consists of several snoRNA Z168 and Z174 sequences which are members of the C/D class of snoRNA which contain the C (UGAUGA) and D (CUGA) box motifs.
Source: Rfam by way of RNAcentral
GGGCCGAUGAUGCGAAGCAUACUCCUACAGUCUAGACGUGGGGAGGAUCUACUUCAUGUUUCUCACUUUCUCCCGUUGUAGCUU